This 62-nucleotide transfer RNA is filed under the name Thylacodes squamigerus. RNAcentral's name for it is "tRNA-Cys". The record is from RNAcentral. Lineage: Eukaryota; Metazoa; Mollusca; Gastropoda; Littorinimorpha; Vermetidae.
AUUGCUUUAGUUUAAGAAAAAUGGCGAAUUGCAAAUUCGAAGAUAGAGUAGUCUGAGCAAAU